GAGUAAAACAAGCAAAUAAAUUAAAACUUUCAACAACGGAUCUCUUGGCUCUGGCAUCGAUGAAGAACGCAGCGAAAUGCGAUAAGUAAUGUGAAUUGCAGAAUUCAGUGAAUCAUCGAAUCUUUGAACGCACAUUGCGCCCGCCAGUAUUCUGGCGGGCAUGCCUGUCCGAGCGUCAUUACAACCCUCAGGCCCAGCCUGGUGUUGGGGAUCGGCCGAGCCCUCCUGGGCAGACGCCGUCCCCCAAAUUCAGUGGCGGUCUCGCUGCAGCCUCCAUUGCGUAGUAGCUAACACCUCGCAAUUGGAACGCGGCGCGGCCAUGCCGUA
Molecule: ribosomal RNA, 327 nt
Filed under: Fusarium sp. E9404a
Lineage: Eukaryota; Fungi; Ascomycota; Sordariomycetes; Hypocreales; Nectriaceae
Description: eukaryotic LSU rRNA
Rfam family: 5.8S ribosomal RNA (bases 25-178)
Source: RNAcentral